Molecule: transfer RNA, 69 nt
Filed under: Marmota monax (woodchuck)
Lineage: Eukaryota; Metazoa; Chordata; Mammalia; Rodentia; Sciuridae
Description: tRNA.Thr
Source: RNAcentral
GGGGCUGGGGCUCAGCGGUAGAGCGCUCACCUAGUAUGUGCGAGGCACUGAGUUCGAUCGUCAGCACCA